CCUAAUCACCUCUCCCCAAUGCUUCUUAGGCCUCCCUCUACCUCGCCGACCUCCAACAAUCUUCAGUCGCUCGCAGCUCCUCACCGGGGCAUCGGGACCCCUACUCCGAACAUGCCCGAACCACCUCAGCCUCGCUUUCCGCUUCUUUUCGUCUACCGGGGCCACCCCUACUUUCUGUCGAAUAACUUCAUUCUUAAUCUUAUCUAGCCUGGUGUGCCCAUACAUCCACCUAAGC
This 235-nucleotide long non-coding RNA is filed under the name Nicotiana benthamiana. RNAcentral describes it as "long non-coding RNA (NBEN_LNC000998)". The record is from RNAcentral. Lineage: Eukaryota; Viridiplantae; Streptophyta; Magnoliopsida; Solanales; Solanaceae.